CAAAUACUCCCUCGUCCGAAAAUACUUGUCAUCAAAAUGAAUCAAAAGAGAUAUAUCUAGAACUAAAAUAUGUCUAGAUAAUCCCCUUUAUCCAUUUUGAUGACAAAUAUUUUGGGACGGAGGGAGUAUAUU
This is a non-coding RNA of Triticum aestivum (bread wheat), 132 nucleotides long. NCBI's taxonomy places the organism in Eukaryota, Viridiplantae, Streptophyta, Magnoliopsida, Poales, Poaceae. The record is from Rfam.